CCUACGGGUGGCAGCAGUGGGGGAUAUUGCACAAUGGGGGGAACCCUGAUGCAGCGACGCCGCGUGGGUGAAGAAGCGCCUCGGCGCGUAAAGCCCUGUCAGCAGGGAAGAAAAUGACGGUACCUGAAGAAGAAGCCCCGGCUAACUACGUGCCAGCAGCCGCGGUAAUACGUAGGGGGCAAGCGUUAUCCGGAUUUAUUGGGUUUAAAGGGUGCGCAGGCGGCCUGUUAAGUCAGCGGUAAAAGCCCUCGCUCAACGUGGGAACUGCCUUUGAAACUGGCAAACUGGAGUUUGUGAGAGGAUAGUGGAAUUCCAGGUGUAGUAGUGAAAUCCGUAGAUAUCUGGCGGAACAUCAGUGGCGAAGGCGACUAUCUGGCACAUAACUGACGCUGAGGAGCGAAAGCGUGGGUAGCAAACAGGAUUAGAUACCCCUGUAGUC
This 439-nucleotide ribosomal RNA is filed under the name uncultured bacterium. Its description in RNAcentral is "partial 16S ribosomal RNA". It matches the Rfam family "Bacterial small subunit ribosomal RNA", at positions 338 to 795 of the family's 1533-position model. The record is from RNAcentral.